RNAcentral lists this ribosomal RNA (253 nucleotides) under uncultured bacterium. RNAcentral's name for it is "partial 16S ribosomal RNA". It matches the Rfam family "Bacterial small subunit ribosomal RNA", at positions 524 to 776 of the family's 1533-position model. The record is from RNAcentral.
UACGUAGGAGGCAAGCGUUGUCCGGAAUCAUUGGGCGUAAAGAGCGUGUAGGCGGCCAGAAAAGUCCGCUGUGAAAACUCGAGGCUCAACUUCGAGCUGUCGGUGGAAACUUUCUGGCUAGAGUCCGGAAGAGGAGAAUGGAAUUCCUGGUGUAGCGGUGAAAUGCGCAGAUAUCAGGAAGAACACCCGUGGCGAAGGCGGUUCUCUGGGACGGUACUGACGCUGAGACGCGAAAGCGUGGGGAGCGAACAGG